GAUGAACGCUGGCGGCGUGCCUAAUACAUGCAAGUCGAGCGAACAGACGAGGAGCUUGCUCCUUUGACGUUAGCGGCGGACGGGUGAGUAACACGUGGGUAACCUACCUAUAAGACUGGGAUAACUUCGGGAAACCGGAGCUAAUACCGGAUAAUAUUUCGAACCGCAUGGUUCGAUAGUGAAAGAUGGCUUUGCUAUCACUUAUAGAUGGACCUGCGCCGUAUUAGCUAGUUGGUAAGGUAACGGCUUACCAAGGCAACGAUACGUAGCCGACCUGAGAGCGUGAACGGCCACAUGGGAACUGAGACACGUUCCAGACUCCUACGGUAGGCAGCAGUAGGGAAUCUUCCGCAAGGGGCGAAAGCGUGACGGAGCAACGCCGCGUGAGUGAUGAAGUUCUUCGGAUCGGAAAACGCUGUUAUUAGGGAAGAACAAACGUGUAAGUAGCUGUGCACGUCUUGACGGUACCUAAUCAGAAAGCCACGGCUAACUCCGUG
RNAcentral lists this ribosomal RNA (497 nucleotides) under uncultured bacterium. RNAcentral describes it as "partial 16S ribosomal RNA". It matches the Rfam family "Bacterial small subunit ribosomal RNA", at positions 28 to 507 of the family's 1533-position model. The record is from RNAcentral.